AAAUCUUUUAAAAGGGCAUCUAAUCAAAACCUUGGUAAAAAAAGUAAGGACGUCGCGCUACGAAACGCUGUAAGGAGGCACAGGCUUGUGAUCUACAGAUUUCCUAAAGUAAACUAACAUAAUUUAUGUAAAAAUAAUGUGAAUUGAACCAUCUUAUUAGCAUUAAAAUAAAUCAAACGAGAUUCCGUAAGUAAUAGCGAAUGAAAGCGGUUAGAGGCUUGGGUUUUUAUUUAUUCGGAAUCCAGAAAACUCAAGAAGGUAAAAGUCCUGUACGUAAUAAACUAAAAAAUACCAAAAAGAAGUAAUACGAAGACUUACUUUGUAUGAAUAAAGGAGAACCACCUUCUAAGCCUAAAGCUUUUUUUAACCGAUAGUGAACGAGUACCGUGAGGGAAAGGUGAAAAAUACCGUAAGGGUUCUAGUUAUAAAAACUAGAUUAAGAAAUUAGAUGUUUACAAGUUUUCGGAGUUAAUAGCAACCACGAAGUGCCUUUUGCAUAAUGAGUCAGUAAGUUAUUACGUGUAGCAAGUUUAAGUAAAAAUACGUAAGCAAAAAAGUAACAUGUAUUAAACCUGAAGCCGAGUGAUCUAAUUGCGAGCAGGUUGAAAAUUCAGUAACAUGUUUUAGAGGACCGAACUCACAUAUGUAGCAAAAUAUGGAGAUGACUCGUAGUUAGGGGCGAAAGACCAAUCAAACUCGGCGAUAGCCGGUUUUUCACGAAACGUAUUUAAGUACUACGUUAUUAGCUAAUAAAUUUUAGGUAGAGUACAGACUAAACAAAGGGGUGUAAAAACUUACUAAGUUUAGUUUAACUCCUAACUAUAACUUAAUUUUAAUAGCAGACAGUCUUUAGGCGAUAAGGUCUAAAGACAAAAGGAAAACAAUCCAGACCGUAUACUAAGAUCUCAAAAUUGUAGUUCAGUGAAGAAGGCUUUUAAAAUUUCAAAUAAUAAAUCAGGAUAGGCUUAGAAGCAGCCUUUCAUUAGAGAAAGCGUUUUAGCUCAUUAUUUUAUUUUUAAAAACCAAAAAUUAAAGGAGACUCUAAACUACAUAUCGAAGUAACGGAUUAGUUACAAACUAAUGGUAGUGAAACGUUCUGUAAUUUUUAACAACGUAAGUUUAAAUAAACAUCAGAAGUGCUAAUGCUGACAUGAGUAGCGCAAACUACGUUAACAAAUCGUAGUCAUUUUAUGUUCAAGGGUUUCAAUGUAAUUUUAAAUUCAUUGAGUGAGUCGGUCCUUAAGAGGUGAGCAAACGCUGUACUCGAUAGGAAGAUAUUUUAUAACCAAUUAUAUGUGUAAGUAAUAACUUAUAUGCAAAUAAAUAUAAAUGCAGUGUAUUCUUCAACUCAAAGAUUAAAGAUGCAUAUAAUUAUAUUUCUCAAGAAAAAAUUAUAAUGUAAGACCGUACCCAAACCGACACAGGUGAACUUAUCGAGAAGAUAAAAGUGAAUGAAAGAAUUGUACUGAAGGAACUCGGCAAAUUAACUCUGUACGUUCGCAAUAAAGAGAACCAUAUUUAAAUUAUGGUGGCACGAAAUAAGAAACAACGACUGGUUACCAAAACCACAGGACUCUGCAAAUUAUUACAAAAAGUAUAGAGUCUGACGCCUGCCCAGUGCUUAAAAGCGAUAAACUUAAGUGAGAGCUUAAGUUAUAACCUUAAGUAAACGGCGGUUCUAACUAUAAGAAUCCUUAGGUAGCGAAAUUCCUUGACGGGUAAGUUCCGUCCCGCAUGAAUGGCGUCACGAUUGUUUUACUGUCUCCAGUACAACUUCAGCGAAAUUACAUAACCUAUGAAAAUGUGGGUUACCUACAGUAAGACGGAAAGACCCUAGAUCCUUUACUCUAUCUUUGUAUUGUAAUAGACUAAAACAUUGUGUAGAAUAAGUGGGAAUACUUCAAGAAAGUAUAAAACUGAAAUACCACUCAAAGUAUUAGAAUUUUACUAAUUUACGUAAAAAUCCGUAAAAACAGUAUAAAAAGGGGAGUUUACUUGGGACGAGUACCUCCUAAAAUGUAACGGAGGUGUACAAAGGUGAACCUCAUUUGCUUAAAAUAAGCAAUGAAGCGUAUAAUGACAUAAGUUCGCUUAACAGAAAGAUUGAUAAAUCAACCUGAGACGUAAGUCGGUCAUAGUGAUCCGGUAUUCAAGUGUGGAAUUGUUACCGCUCAACAAAUAAAAGGAACUCUAGGGAUAACAGAUUCAUCGUGGCUGAGAGUCCUUAUUGACGCCACGGUUUGAUACCUCGAUGUCGACUCAUCUUAUCCUGGAAUUGAAGAAGAUUCCAAGGGUCUAGUUGUUCGCUAGUGAAAAAGGUACGUGAGUUGGGUUCAGAACGUCGUGAGACAGUUCGGUCCCUAUCUGCUGUAGGCAAGAAAAGAAAAAAGACUAUUUCUAGUACGAGAGGACCGAAAUAUUUUAACCACUGGUGUAUUGAUUGUCAUAUCUUUGGCAUUGUCAAGUAGCUACGUUAACUGUGUAUGUGUACUGAAAGAAUCAAAAGUACGAAGACAUCUUUAAGUUGCUUUUCAUGAAUAAUCUAAAAGACUAUUAGAUAGAUCGGUUUAACGUACUUAUUUAGUAAUAAAUACCGCUUAUAAAUACGAAUUUAUUCAACAAAGACUUUAA
Molecule: ribosomal RNA, 2631 nt
Filed under: Ahnfeltia plicata
Lineage: Eukaryota; Rhodophyta; Florideophyceae; Ahnfeltiales; Ahnfeltiaceae
Description: ribosomal RNA large subunit
Rfam family: Bacterial large subunit ribosomal RNA
Source: RNAcentral